RNAcentral lists this ribosomal RNA (516 nucleotides) under uncultured bacterium. RNAcentral describes it as "bacterial SSU rRNA". It matches the Rfam family "Bacterial small subunit ribosomal RNA", at positions 554 to 1071 of the family's 1533-position model. The record is from RNAcentral.
UUGGGCAUAAAGGGCAUCUAGGCGGCCAGAUAAGUCUGGGGUGAAAACUUGCGGCUCAACCGCAAGCCUGCCCUGGAAACUAUGUGGCUAGAGUACUGGAGAGGUGGACGGAACUGCACGAGUAGAGGUGAAAUUCGUAGAUAUGUGCAGGAAUGCCGAUGAUGAAGAUAGUUCACUGGACGGUAACUGACGCUGAAGUGCGAAAGCUAGGGGAGCAAACAGGAUUAGAUACCCUGGUAGUCCUAGCUGUAAACGAUGCUUACUGGGUGUGGGCAUGAAGAGUGUCCGUGCCGAAGCUAAUGCGAUAAGUAAUCCGCCUGGGGAGUACGGCCGCAAGGCUGAAACUCAAAGGAAUUGACGGGGACCCGCACAAGCGGUGGAGCAUGUGGUUUAAUUCGACGCAACGCGAGGAACCUUACCAGAUCUUGACAUCCUGCGAAGGCCUGCGAGAGCAGGCUGUGCCUCCGGGAACGCAGAGACAGGUGGUGCAUGGCUGUCGUCAGCUCGUGUCGUGAG